AAGUCGUAACAAGGUUUCCGUAGGUGAACCUGCGGAAGGAUCAUUAACGAGUGAGGGUCCCUCCGGGCCCGACCUCCCAACCCUCUGUCUACAGAACCUCCGUUGCUUCGGCGGACCCGUCUCCACGACCGCCGGGGGAGCCGCCCUCACGGGGCGUCCCCUGGCCCGCGUCCGCCGGUGGCCAACCUCUCCAAACUCUUGUCUAAACCGUGUCUCCAUGUCUGAGUCCAUGAUGCAAAUCAAUAAACAAAAAACUUUCAACAACGGAUCUCUUGGUUCUG
Molecule: unclassified non-coding RNA, 281 nt
Filed under: Cladophialophora sp.
Lineage: Eukaryota; Fungi; Ascomycota; Eurotiomycetes; Chaetothyriales; Herpotrichiellaceae
Description: partial internal transcribed spacer region
Rfam family: Eukaryotic small subunit ribosomal RNA (bases 1-46)
Source: RNAcentral